Molecule: non-coding RNA, 22 nt
Filed under: Arabidopsis thaliana (thale cress)
Lineage: Eukaryota; Viridiplantae; Streptophyta; Magnoliopsida; Brassicales; Brassicaceae
Also listed under: 2 other names
Source: RNAcentral
UUUGUACACACCGCCCGUCGCU